CCUUGACAUACUAAGAACUUUCCAGAGAUGGAUUGGUGCCUUCGGGAACUUAGAUACAGGUGCUGCAUGGCUGUCGUCAGCUCGUGUCGUGAGAUGUUGGGUUAAGUCCCGCAACGAGCGCAACCCUUUUCCUAUUUGCCAGCGGGUCAUGCCGGGAACUUUAAGGAUACUGCCAGUGACAAACUGGAGGAAGGCGGGGACGACGUCAAGUCAUCAUGGCCCUUACGGCCAGGGCUACACACGUGCUACAAUGGUCGGUACAAAGGGUUGCUACCUCGCGAGAGGAUGCUAAUCUCAAAAAGCCGAUCGUAGUCCGGAUCGCAGUCUGCAACUCGACUGCGUGAAGUCGGAAUCGCUAGUAAUCGCGGAUCAGAAUGCCGCGGUGAAUACGUUCCCGGGCCUUGUACACACCGCCCGUCACACCAUGGGAGUUUGUUGCGCCAGAAGUAGGUAGUCUAACCGCAAGGAGGACGCUUACCACGGUGUGGCCGAUGACUGGGGUGAAGUCGUAACAAGGUAGGCGUAGAUGA
This 530-nucleotide ribosomal RNA is filed under the name uncultured bacterium. Its description in RNAcentral is "bacterial SSU rRNA". It matches the Rfam family "Bacterial small subunit ribosomal RNA", at positions 979 to 1509 of the family's 1533-position model. The record is from RNAcentral.